Molecule: ribosomal RNA, 433 nt
Filed under: uncultured bacterium
Lineage: Bacteria
Description: partial 16S ribosomal RNA
Rfam family: Bacterial small subunit ribosomal RNA
Source: RNAcentral
AACGAACGCUGGCGGCAUGCCUAACACAUGCAAGUCGAACGAGACCUUCGGGACUAGUGGCGCACGGGUGCGUCACGCGUGGGAACCUGCACUUAGGUUCGGCAUAACUACACGACAGGGAUGCUUAUACCGGAUAAUGUCUUAGGACCGAAGAUUUAUCGCACUUGGAUGGGCACGAGUUGGAUUAGCUAGUUGGGAGGGUAAUAGACUAACAAGGCGACGAUUCAUAACUGGUCUGAGAGGAUGAUCAGCCACUCUGGGACUGAGACACGGCCCAGACUCCUACGGGAUGCAGCAGUGGGGAAUGGUGGACAACCGGCGGAAGCCUGAACCAGCACGGCCGCGUGAGCGAUGAAGUCCUUAGGGUUGUAAUGCGCUUGUACCCGUGAUGAUAAUGACAGUACCGGGAGAAUAAGCUCCGGCUAACUCCGUG